CAGGGCGAAUGUCUUGUAAUUGGAAUGAUGGUGACCCAAACCCUCACCAGAGUAGCAAUUGGAGGGCAAGCCUGGUGCCAGCAGCCGCGGUAAUUCCAGCUCCAAUAGCGUAUAUUAAACUUGUUGCAGUUAAAAAGCUCGUAGUUGUAUUUUUGCGUUAGCGGUUUGACCAUUUGGUUGGUUAUUUCGUUUUCGCUUUUGGGAAUUUCCCUUUUUACUUUGAGAAAAUUAGAGUGUUCCAAGCAGACUUUUGUCUUGAAUACUUCAGCAUGGAAUAAUAGAGUAGGACUUUGGUUCUAUUUUGUUGGUUAUUGAACCUUAGUAAUGGUUAAUAGGAACGGUUGGGGGCAUUCGUAUUUAACUGUCAGAGGUGAAAUUCUUAGAUUUGUUAAAGACGAACUACUGCGAAAGCAUUUGCCAAGGACGUUUCCAUUAAUCAAGAACGAAAGUUAGGGGAUCGAAGAA
RNAcentral lists this ribosomal RNA (465 nucleotides) under Babesia canis. Its description in RNAcentral is "SSU rRNA". It matches the Rfam family "Eukaryotic small subunit ribosomal RNA", at positions 486 to 1005 of the family's 1831-position model. Lineage: Eukaryota; Apicomplexa; Aconoidasida; Piroplasmida; Babesiidae. The record is from RNAcentral.